This 373-nucleotide ribosomal RNA is filed under the name uncultured organism. Its description in RNAcentral is "partial 16S ribosomal RNA". It matches the Rfam family "Bacterial small subunit ribosomal RNA", at positions 527 to 897 of the family's 1533-position model. The record is from RNAcentral.
AGAGAGUGCAAGCGUUAAUCGGAAUUACUGGGCGUAAAGCGCGCGUAGGUGGAUAUUUAAGUCGGAUGUGAAAGCCCUGGGGCUCAACCCAGGAACUGCGCCCGAUACUGGAUAUCUAGAGUAUGGUAGAGGGAAGUGGAAUUUCCGGUGUAGCGGUGAAAUGCGUAGAUAUCGGAAAGAACACCAGUGGCGAAGGCGGCUUCCUGGACUAAUACUGACACUGAGGUGCGAAAGCGUGGGGAGCAAACAGGAUUAGAGACCCUGGUAGUCCACGCCGUCAACGAUGAGAACUGGCUGUUGGGAGGGACUUCCUCUUAGUAGCGAAGCUAACGCGUUAAGUUCUCCGCCUGGGGAGUACGGUCGCAAAGAUUAA